CCGGCGACCGGCGCGACGGGUGAGUACACGUAUGCAACCUGCCCUCUUCAGGGGGACAACCUUCCGAAAGGGAGGCUAAUCCCGCGUAUAUCGGUUUCGGGCAUCCGAGAUCGAGGAAAGAUUCAUCGGAAGAGGAUGGGCAUGCGGCGCAUUAGCUAGACGGCGGGGUAACGGCCCACCGUGGCGACGAUGCGUAGGGGUUCUGAGAGGAAGGUCCCCCACACUGGUACUGAGACACGGACCAGACUCCUACGGAAGGCAGCAG
Molecule: ribosomal RNA, 265 nt
Filed under: uncultured bacterium
Lineage: Bacteria
Description: partial 16S ribosomal RNA
Rfam family: Bacterial small subunit ribosomal RNA
Source: RNAcentral